GCCUGGGUGGCAUAGUGGUUUGUGUGCUGGACUAUGACUCUAGAGACCAGGGUUUGAUUACCCGCUCAGCCA
Molecule: transfer RNA, 72 nt
Filed under: Phrynosoma platyrhinos (Desert horned lizard)
Lineage: Eukaryota; Metazoa; Chordata; Lepidosauria; Squamata; Phrynosomatidae
Description: tRNA-OTHER
Rfam family: tRNA
About the family: Transfer RNA (tRNA) molecules are approximately 80 nucleotides in length.
Source: RNAcentral